This 1342-nucleotide ribosomal RNA is filed under the name uncultured bacterium. RNAcentral describes it as "bacterial SSU rRNA". It matches the Rfam family "Bacterial small subunit ribosomal RNA", at positions 28 to 1381 of the family's 1533-position model. The record is from RNAcentral.
GACGAACGCUGGCGGCGUGCUUAACACAUGCAAGUCGAACGAUGAUGCCCAGCUUGCUGGGUGGAUUAGUGGCGAACGGGUGAGUAACACGUGAGUAACCUGCCCCUGACUCUGGGAUAAGCGUUGGAAACGACGUCUAAUACUGGAUAUGAUCACUGGCCGCAUGGUCUGGUGGUGGAAAGAUUUUUUGGUUGGGGAUGGACUCGCGGCCUAUCAGCUUGUUGGUGAGGUAAUGGCUCACCAAGGCGACGACGGGUAGCCGGCCUGAGAGGGUGACCGGCCACACUGGGACUGAGACACGGCCCAGACUCCUACGGGAGGCAGCAGUGGGGAAUAUUGCACAAUGGGCGAAAGCCUGAUGCAGCAACGCCGCGUGAGGGAUGACGGCCUUCGGGUUGUAAACCUCUUUUAGUAGGGAAGAAGCGAAAGUGACGGUACCUGCAGAAAAAGCACCGGCUAACUACGUGCCAGCAGCCGCGGUAAUACGUAGGGUGCAAGCGUUGUCCGGAAUUAUUGGGCGUAAAGAGCUCGUAGGCGGUUUGUCGCGUCUGCUGUGAAAUCCCGAGGCUCAACCUCGGGCUUGCAGUGGGUACGGGCAGACUAGAGUGCGGUAGGGGAGAUUGGAAUUCCUGGUGUAGCGGUGGAAUGCGCAGAUAUCAGGAGGAACACCGAUGGCGAAGGCAGAUCUCUGGGCCGUAACUGACGCUGAGGAGCGAAAGCAUGGGGAGCGAACAGGAUUAGAUACCCUGGUAGUCCAUGCCGUAAACGUUGGGCGCUAGAUGUAGGGACCUUUCCACGGUUUCUGUGUCGUAGCUAACGCAUUAAGCGCCCCGCCUGGGGAGUACGGCCGCAAGGCUAAAACUCAAAGGAAUUGACGGGGGCCCGCACAAGCGGCGGAGCAUGCGGAUUAAUUCGAUGCAACGCGAAGAACCUUACCAAGGCUUGACAUACACCGGAAACGGCCAGAGAUGGUCGCCCCCUUGUGGUCGGUGUACAGGUGGUGCAUGGUUGUCGUCAGCUCGUGUCGUGAGAUGUUGGGUUAAGUCCCGCAACGAGCGCAACCCUCGUUCUAUGUUGCCAGCGGGUUAUGCCGGGGACUCAUAGGAGACUGCCGGGGUCAACUCGGAGGAAGGUGGGGAUGACGUCAAAUCAUCAUGCCCCUUAUGUCUUGGGCUUCACGCAUGCUACAAUGGCCGGUACAAAGGGCUGCGAUACCGUAAGGUGGAGCGAAUCCCAAAAAGCCGGUCUCAGUUCGGAUUGAGGUCUGCAACUCGACCUCAUGAAGUCGGAGUCGCUAGUAAUCGCAGAUCAGCAACGCUGCGGUGAAUACGUUCCCGGGCCU